RNAcentral lists this ribosomal RNA (318 nucleotides) under uncultured cyanobacterium. RNAcentral describes it as "bacterial SSU rRNA". It matches the Rfam family "Bacterial small subunit ribosomal RNA", at positions 391 to 722 of the family's 1533-position model. Lineage: Bacteria; Bacillati; Cyanobacteriota. The record is from RNAcentral.
GCAAUACCGCGUGGGGGAGGAAGGUCUGUGGAUUGUAAACCCCUUUUCUCAGGGAAGAAGCUCUGACGGUACCUGAGGAAUCAGCAUCGGCUAACUCCGUGCCAGCAGCCGCGGUAAUACGGAGGAUGCAAGCGUUAUCCGGAAUUAUUGGGCGUAAAGCGUCCGCAGGCGGCUAGAUAAGUCUGCUUUCAAAGAGUGGGGCUCAACCCCAUAGGGGGAGUGGAAACUGUUUAGCUAGAGUAUGGUAGGGGCAGAGGGAAUUCCCAGUGUAGCGGUGAAAUGCGUAGAUAUUGGGAAGAACACCAGUGGCCGNACCGC